CCUACGGGGUGCAGCAGUGAGGACUAUUGGUCAAUGGACGAGAGUCUGAACUAUCCAAGUAGCGUGAAGGAUGACUGCCCUAUGGGUUGUAAACUUCUUUUAUAUGGGACUAAAAUGUUCCACGUGUGGGAGUUUGUAUGUACCAUCUGAAUAAGGAUCGGCUAACUCCGUGCCAGCAGCCGGUGUAAUACGGAGGAUCCGAGCGUUAUCCGGAUUUAUUGGGUUUACAGGGAGCGUAGGUGGAUUUUUAAGUCAGUUGUGAAAGUUUGCGACUCAACCGUAAAAUUGAAGUUGAAACUGGCAGUCUUGAGUACAGUAGAGGUGGGCGGAAUUCGUGGUGUAGCGGUGAAAUGCUUAGAGAUCACGAAGAACUCCGAUUGCGAAGGCAGCUCACUGGACUGCAACUGACACUGAGGCGCGAAAGUGUGGGUAUCAAACAGGAUUAGAUACCCUAGUAGUC
Molecule: ribosomal RNA, 460 nt
Filed under: uncultured bacterium
Lineage: Bacteria
Description: partial 16S ribosomal RNA
Rfam family: Bacterial small subunit ribosomal RNA
Source: RNAcentral